RNAcentral lists this ribosomal RNA (401 nucleotides) under uncultured bacterium. RNAcentral describes it as "bacterial SSU rRNA". It matches the Rfam family "Bacterial small subunit ribosomal RNA", at positions 28 to 425 of the family's 1533-position model. The record is from RNAcentral.
GACGAACGCUGGCGGCGUGCCUAACACGUGCAAGUCAACGAGAAAGGGGUAGCAAUAUCCCGAGUAAAGUGGCGCACGGGUGAGUAACACGUAGGUAAUCUGCCAUUAGGACGGGGCCAACCACGCGAAAGCGUGGCUAAUACCCGAUGAAUCGACGAUGCCGCAUGGCAUUGUUGUUAAAUACCGCAAGGUGCCUGGUGAUGAACCUGCGUCCCAUUAGGUAGUUGGUGAGGUAACGGCUCACCAAGCCGACGAUGGGUAGCUGGUCUGAGAGGAUGAUCAGCCACACUGGAACUGAGACACGGUCCAGACUCCUACGGGAGGCAGCAGUGAGGAAUAUUGCGCAAUGGCCGAAAGGCUGACGCAGCGACGCCGCGUGAAGGAUGAAGUCCGUUAGGAUG